Carassius auratus (goldfish) is the source of this 634-nucleotide non-coding RNA. Lineage: Eukaryota; Metazoa; Chordata; Actinopteri; Cypriniformes; Cyprinidae. The record is from the annotation of a RefSeq genome assembly.
UCCAGAGACUGUGUGUGUCUGACUCUGCUGUGUACUACUGUGCUUUGAGGCCCACAGUGUUAACAGGAUGCCUCUCUCUCAUACAAAAUCAAAAGAAACAUAUACAACUGAAGAGGGAGGAGUGAUUGGACCUGAUGUCAUUAGCCACACCCACAUUAGUAAUAAACAACAGAACAACUCUCCAUGUAUAGUAACUAAUCAUUUGUGUAAAACAGUCUUCAGAUCAGAUCAGUCUUCAAAAAUCUGAUUAAAAGUAUAAACAUGGAGAAACAUAUACUGCUUAUUGUCAUAACAGUAUCAGGAGUAUUUGCUGACAGCAUUGGACCAAAAGACAAGGAUGCUAUAAUCAGUAAAGAAGGAGAGUCUGUAACACUGAGCUGCAUUUAUGAUACAAGCAGCAAUGAUGUUUUGCUUUACUGGUACAAACAGUAUCCCAACAAUAAACCUCAGUAUUUAUUGUAUAAAGGUGCUCGAUCAUGGAACACUGAAGAGGAUAUACCAGACAGUCGCUUUCAGUCGACUACAUCCCAAACAUCCACUGAACUCACUAUUAACAGUGUAACUCUGUCAGAUUCAGCUCUCUAUUACUGUGCUCUAAGAGUUGGAGCCCAGUGAUACAAAAUGCCUGAGAAGC